UACGGAGGGUGCAAGCGUUGUCCGGAUUUAUUGGGUUUAAAGGGUGCGUAGGCGGUUUAUUAAGUCAGUGGUGAAAGACGGUCGCUCAACGAUUGCAGUGCCAUUGAUACUGGUAGACUUGAGUGUGAUUGAGGUAGCUGGAAUGGAUAGUGUAGCGGUGAAAUGCAUAGAUAUUAUCCAGAACACCAAUUGCGAAGGCAGGUUACUAAGUCACAACUGACGCUGAUGCACGAAAGUGUGGGUAUCAAACAGG
This 253-nucleotide ribosomal RNA is filed under the name uncultured bacterium. RNAcentral describes it as "partial 16S ribosomal RNA". It matches the Rfam family "Bacterial small subunit ribosomal RNA", at positions 524 to 776 of the family's 1533-position model. The record is from RNAcentral.